AAGGAUUAAAAAUCGACGAAUUCGCGCGCAUAAAAGUUAAUCUAAACAAAAUUACAAAAUACUCGAACUAUCCACCAAUGAAAAGGCUGAGAAUUUGUCACAUGACCACGCCGCGGCAGCUCAUCAUGAAAUAAUUUCGACUUUUGUAAGUACCGCACCGGCGGCGCGGCGGCCGGCCGUAUACGUUGCGUUGGUGUGAGCUGUUGAAUCUACAUCUAGGUAUUGAUCAGGAUGGCCGAACUGGAGAACAUUUUAAAAGAUUUCGGGGAGGAAAUAAUUAAGAUAUUGAAAGGUUAACUGGGCAUGGAUGAAGCACACAGUUCCCACUGCAGCAAAUAAGGGGAAAAUUAUCCAAUUUUUUCGAAGACACUACUGCUGUCUGCUUAUCGUCAAAUGAUGCUGAAGAAAAGGACAGACAUGAUCAUUACAGACUUCAUCACCACGUUUCCAAGGAUACAAGAGAUGCCAGAACUUAUCAACUUGGACUUUGAAACAGAACAUGGGCACCUUCCUGACAACUUUAUUUCAAAGUGGGAGUCGUUCUACCGAGACCGUAUGAUAAAAUUAGGUUUGAGCGGGUAUCCAGCGGUAAAAGAAUCAAUUCAACAGUAUUAGGAAGGUGACAACAGAGACCUGUGUGAUUGCACUGCUGCUGAUGUUACAUAAGCCACUGACAAAGACCAAGAACCCCACCUCGAGUUCAAGAGCAUCGAGUUUGGAGCACUUUAUCCAGUACAGACCUAUUGGGGCAGAUGUUGAAGCGGCAGCAGCUGGGAAGUCUGCUGAGUUUCGGCAGCCCUAUAUUCUAGCCCUUGGACACAGACGCAAGCCAGUACAAUAUUUCUUGAUUGCAGACAAGGUAGUGAUUGAAGCGGGACAGAAUGUGAUGGAAGCCACUGACAGGCUUUUUCAGUCUCAUGUAUUUGGAGUCCAUUUUGCCCAAGUAAUUCAAAAUUUCUGGAAGUUCAUGGCAUCUGAAGUGUACAGGGUCAUGCAGGCAUCUAAUACCAAAGCCUCUGUGAGAAGUAUGGCGUUAUCGAUCCGAAAUUAAAAGUUAACCGUGCAGUAGCUUGGACAACAAAACUAAGCUGCUGUCGGGGACAGGCUUCUCACUCACCUUACAUUUGUAAUUCAUAAGCACUUUUGCUGUCUUGAUGAACAUGACAGAGAAUAGUUUCUCUAAGGCUGUUAUUUCGGAUUUUGUACAUAAAUCUGAAAAUAAUAAAAUAUGAAAAUAAGAGAUGUUUUGUACAGAUUCCAAAUGGUAUAAAUAUACGCUGAGUGAGAAAAUGUUGUUCAUAUAGGAAGGCAGCUAAAUUAGUGGUUAGUUUAUGCCAGAACAAUGAGCCCUUGUAUGAAAUUAUCUGAAUUAAGAUGAGUUAUGAUGUACACAUGUUCCGAGACAAAAGAGUUUGUUGACUACUUGUGGUGUGAGCCUAAGGGUUGAAAAGAAAUGUUUAUUAUACCAGCGCAAAACGAAGUUUGAAGGGGUAUAUAGUAAUCAGCGUAUAGUUGGGCGGUCUGUUGCAAAUCUUGCGGAUCAAUCUUCUUCCUCAUUUUUCAACCAAUACUCGUGAAAAAUUGGCACAUAGAUUAGACUUGUUGUGAGGAUGUGCAAGACACAUUUUUCUUAAGUGUUGGAAACUGCGUUUUCGGGGUAACGGCAUGUAUUGGCAUAAAAUUUGGUAAAAAUCUUGCGGAUCGAACUACUUCAGUUUUCAACCAAUUCAUGAAAUUUGGCACAUGUAUUGGUCUGCGUGUCAGGAUGUGCAGACACAUUUUUCACAAAAAUAUCUUGAAGACAAGGUGAUAUCUAGUUUUAUAUUACAUUGCUGAGAGUGAUUUAUUA
This 1849-nucleotide long non-coding RNA is filed under the name Lytechinus variegatus (green sea urchin). RNAcentral describes it as "uncharacterized LOC121423928". Lineage: Eukaryota; Metazoa; Echinodermata; Echinoidea; Temnopleuroida; Toxopneustidae. The record is from RNAcentral.